GGUGAUGCUAAUCUAUAUCUUUUUCAUCCUGUACCCAUCUCAUCUCUGCAAGGUUGGCUCGACGUAGAUUCGGAUUAUCGCCUCGUGGCUCAGUAGCAAGAGAGAAUGUUAAAAAAGAGAGAGAGUAUGUGGUUAUUAUGAUUUAACCUAAGAACAAAUGGCUCGAGCAUUGCCCAUAUAUGUCGUGAGACUUGGCAGGUGAGGCUUGCUUGGCCCC
RNAcentral lists this long non-coding RNA (217 nucleotides) under Elaeis guineensis (African oil palm). Its description in RNAcentral is "long non-coding RNA (EGUI_LNC006740)". The record is from RNAcentral. Lineage: Eukaryota; Viridiplantae; Streptophyta; Magnoliopsida; Arecales; Arecaceae.